RNAcentral lists this long non-coding RNA (2023 nucleotides) under Schizosaccharomyces pombe (fission yeast). Lineage: Eukaryota; Fungi; Ascomycota; Schizosaccharomycetes; Schizosaccharomycetales; Schizosaccharomycetaceae. The record is from RNAcentral.
ACACGGAGGGAACCUGGAUUAUUUCAGACACAAUUUUAGCAGAUGCUUCAGCUGAUGACUUAACUGACUCGGCCAAAUCAGCGAGUUCUUUCUGAAUUUGGUCAGGCGACUUUCCAUCAUCAGCUCCAAUAUAACAGACAAUGACAUCAGGAUCUUCUUCACCGUAUUCUCCCACCAAAAGCUCUACCUGAUGCUCAUUUCUGAGCUUCUGGAGAUUCUUACCCUUGGAACCAAUAACAUAUCUUUGAAGAAGCGGAUCAAUUGUUACCUUGUAAAACUUGCUCUCCGGAAAUUGAUUAACAAGGGCGAGAAGUUUAGCACGUCCCUCACGGACAGCUUCCUGUGAUUUACCAGAAAUCUCAAUUAUGACUGUUUUAUUGGAAUUUGACUGAAGCUCCUCACGCUUUGGUAAGUGAUAUUGUACGGCACAUUCUUCUUCUAAUGGAAUCAAUUUCCUCGAACGAAGGAACAAACGAGCUACUAUGCUAGCAAUAUCAAAGGGGUUUUUAGAGGAUGCAUAUGCUGUUGUGAUAUUUACAGCGUCAACAAUAGUAGAGUUUGCACGUUCAAGAGUUAAACGGAUACCUUCACUGAUGUUUAAGGCAGGGCCACGGACACUAACGACAUCAGAAUCGCCAUUAAUAGGAGGCAAAAUGACGGAACAUCCGGAUUUUCUCAAAAUAUCCUGGAUACCAACCCCCUUCUCUCCGUUAAUGAAACGGUGUUGACGACGAGGAAUAGGUAGCAUUGUGGGGAUGGUAGUACGAAGAAGUUCCUCAGCUUGACCUUGAAGAUACAAAGCACAUUCGCGUACAGCUGAUUUUUCACCAGACAAAACAAUGGGAUUGACAGGGGCAGAAGGAUCUAAAUAUGCAAAAGGAAUUUGAACCUUCAAAUCCCUACCCUCUUCAAGCUCUUUAAUAUUUUUACCGUCUGGGCCCCUAAGAAGACUGUAUAACUCAGUAGAAAUGUGACUGAUACGAACAGUAGUGUUACUGGUUCUUUCGUUGAUGAUAGCUUCAAUAUCCUUUUGGGCAAGUUCAACACCUUCGAAAUCGCCCUCAAUAGUAAUCGUAGUCAUUUCAUAUUGGGGUUCCAAAUCGUCGAGGGUAGAAGCAGCUGAAUUUUCCUCCUUUUCAGGUUUCUUGGCAUCAUCAGAGGACUCGUUUGCGGUGUUGUUACGCUUGGGAAUUUGAAUGCGUGUUGAAGUGCGAUCCAUAAUAGACUUUAAGUUUUGUCCAUUAGUACCAAUUAUAGCCCCAACAACAAAAACAGGACAGGGCAUAGUUUUCGUUUCACGACGACCAAUCAAUUUCAAAAUUUGGCGUCUAGCCGCUUUGACAGCAGAAGUCUUUCCUUGAAUUAAAAACGUGGUAUUCUUAGUUUUUGAUGCAGUAGAAACAUUAAUACGUGUAGAGGUCUGAUGCAUGACAGUACGAACAAUUUCAGCAACAGAAUUAGGCUUUCCCACGAAAGACAUACGAGGAGCUUGAUUAUCAGGGCUUAAAAUCAAAGUUUCCGUAACAAAAUCAGUUUCUUUUACCGAAGAAAGAGUUGAUUUUGUAGAAGAUGCACGAGAGCUAGCAGAGAACGGAAUCUUGUCUCUGGAAACUGAAUCAGAACCAGCAACGCUAGUAUUGGAAGCUGUCUUUCUGACCCACGAAACAAUCCUUGGCUUGCUGGGACCAGUUUUAGAAAGAAGUGUAGGAAAUGCAUCCUCAGAAUGGACGUCAAUGGCAGGUUUUUUGGAAAAUGAUUUCGAAUUGUUUUGCUUCUUUCCUUGCUGAGCAUUUUCAUGCUUUUGCUGUAAUAUAGCAGAAGGAGUCAAUCCAAACGAGGAACCAGCAGCAGAUGAAGCAGCGCUUAAUAGUCCAUUUGUGCUGGCACUUUUGCUACCAGAAGGAACCUGAGAUUCAGUUCCUUGCAAGUUUUCAUCGUUAGUCAGUUUCUGAAAAUCAUAUGAGUCCAUCGUUGUUGGUUGCUCAAGAUUAGAGAGAUGUUCCAUUAGGCAAGGUCCCGAAAG